MicroRNA precursor from Pan paniscus (pygmy chimpanzee), 100 nucleotides. Lineage: Eukaryota; Metazoa; Chordata; Mammalia; Primates; Hominidae. The record is from Ensembl.
UGAGGCAGGAGAAUUGCUUGAACCCAGGAGGUGGAGGUUGCAGUGAGCCGAGAUCAAGCCACUACACUUCAGCCUGGGUGACACAGCGAGACUCCGUCUC